Molecule: ribosomal RNA, 301 nt
Filed under: uncultured bacterium
Lineage: Bacteria
Description: partial 16S ribosomal RNA
Rfam family: Bacterial small subunit ribosomal RNA
Source: RNAcentral
CAGCCGCCACGGUAAUACGUAGGGUGCGAGCGUUAAUCGGAAUUACUGGGCGUAAAGCGUGCGCAGGCGGUUAUAUAAGACAGAUGUGAAAUCCCCGGGCUCAACCUGGGACCUGCAUUUGUGACUGUAUAGCUAGAGUACGGUAGAGGGGGAUGGAAUUCCGCGUGUAGCAGUGAAAUGCGUAGAUAUGCGGAGGAACACCGAUGGCGAAGGCAAUCCCCUGGACCUGUACUGACGCUCAUGCACGAAAGCGUGGGGAGCAAACAGGAUUAGAUACCCCUGUAGUCCCUGUCUCUUAUAA